AGAGUUUGAUCCUGGCUCAGAGCGAACGCUGGCGGCGUGCCUAACACAUGCAAGUCGAACGUGAAAUGGGGCAACCCAAAGUAAAGUGGCGUACGGGUGAGUAACGCGUAGGUAAUCUACCGAAGAGUCUGGAAUAACCUGCCGAAAGGCGGGCUAAUACUGGAUAGAGCGAGGGGAUCCGUAAAAGGAUCUUUCGGGAA
RNAcentral lists this ribosomal RNA (200 nucleotides) under uncultured bacterium. Its description in RNAcentral is "partial 16S ribosomal RNA". It matches the Rfam family "Bacterial small subunit ribosomal RNA", at positions 8 to 204 of the family's 1533-position model. The record is from RNAcentral.